ACUCUGGCACUAAGGGGCACCUCUGCCAGGUUAAAGGUGGCAGAAACUCUGAGGAAGUCAAAGUGCCUGAGCAUGUGGGCCACUUUCUCAGCGUUCCUCCCUUCAUUCAGGAAGUCCAACUCGAGAGGCAGGUUCUUCUUCGCUUCAUCCACCAGCCACAUGAAUUCAAAAUCUGGGAAAAGUUGCUUCACGGCCAGGACAAGCACCUGAAAGCCACCAAGCAACCUGUCAGCCAGUCAGCCCACGGCCCCCACCACGGAAGGUACAUGUCCUACCCCGCUGGGGGAUGAUUCUGUGCGCUGUGUAUUCAGAUGCUGAUUACUGGGCCCAGAGAUCAGGUCGCAGCCCUGACAGGCAUUGCCAAGCAUCUCCUGUCUUACUUUCAUGUAAAAAUUGUUUUCUGUCACCUCUGGUUGGUUAAUAAAGAGCUGAGCAGCCAAUA
This 442-nucleotide long non-coding RNA is filed under the name Mus musculus (house mouse). RNAcentral describes it as "RIKEN cDNA 4930473H19 gene, transcript variant 2 (4930473H19Rik)". The record is from RNAcentral. Lineage: Eukaryota; Metazoa; Chordata; Mammalia; Rodentia; Muridae.